UGUAACUUUCUCUUGUAUGGACAUAUUUUAAAAUCACUUGCUACAUGUGUUCCACAUACGAAGACGACGUGUCGCGUGCAAGACCCAUGUCCCUACCUCUAAGGUGAAAGAUACACUUAGUGUUUAUUCACAAGGGAAUUCUGAAUAUAAGGACAUAACAGUGUAGGUUGUCAAGUAUGGGUGGUAAUUUUUUAUGUUCAGAGGCAAUUUAAAAUAACUUGCCAUAUGUAUUUGACACGUAAAGGCAAGAUCAACUUUUCAUGUACUGACCUUGUUCGUAGGUCAAUGUCACAUUCGGGGGCAUUCGUCACAUACUGUGACAGCUCUUGUUAAUUUAAUUCUUAAACCUGGCCAAAUCAUACCAUGUUAUGAGUUCUUCCAACUGUGUAUAAUAAUGCUACAACAAUCGACCUUUUAUCAGCACAUUGUUUUUCAAUUUCUGCCUUUUUAUAGAAAAUGGGCGUAUGGCUUUUAAGGAUAUUCUUGUUUAUUAACUAGGAAAUGAUCGUUAAUAUCGGUUGAUCAAUUCGUAUAUUUUUGUUUUUAGAUUUCAAAUUGCUAACCGACAAUGAAUGUCCAUCACUUCACCAUUACCAGAAGACUCUCAUGUCCCCAUCAAGAUAGAACUGUCUCGGUCACUUUCGUUGCUGGUAAGAAUGAGCACAACCAUCUUUAAAACGUCACCAGAGUGUCAACUGAUCUGACCAAAUAUUAUCAUGACCACCUCAUCUACUUGCCAGACCUAAAGACCUUACUUACCUGACACAUCCACCCUUCUUGCACUGGCUUGAUGAUGACAACUUCACCAAUGCAUUUCUCUUGACAUCACACUUCAAGACUCGAAUGAGGAGGCUGGUGAUGAUCCAGAUUUUGAACCUGACUUCAACUUGUCAAGUGUACUGUAAAAGUGUGCUGACAUCUGGGCUGCUCUCCUCUGUCAUAUGACAGGUGUGCAUGAGUGGCUCCUCCCGAUUCAGGAUAUAUAUUAUUACGAGUGUUCAUGGACCCCAGAAUCCAGAGGAGAGGAAUAAACCAUGGCUAUACAAGAAAAAACAACUGUAGUACCCUUAAAGCCCUCACAGCCAUUGUCCUUGACAACACCAUCUAUCAGAGAUGUCAUACUAUCUAGACUUCAGCUUUGGUCAAAAUGGCGGCGGUUGGUGGAACUACUGGAAGACCGAAAAACGGAAUACACCUAAAUGGCUGCUGUGUUGAAAUAUUUUUUGGCUGGACAAAGUACACUGUGUUGUGUAGGAAGAAAUGCAGAAUGGUACCAUCAUUUACUUAAGCCACCAUUCCUCUCACAGACAAAAGUCUCAUGGGGACGGUCCCUACAGUUUACAGCAAAGCUCUCAAUUGUAGCCCUACAAAUUUCGGAUACUGAUGAGGGCAUAGCUUUGGUCACCGGGCGGGUUUUCCAGCCUUGUGGAAUCAACAUUUCCAGCUGAACUGGGCCCAGGAAUAAUAUCAGACUCUUUAGCAGCAUGGAUCUCUUUCUUGGGGAUGGAAUCAAAGAUGGCUCCAGAGAUCAUCCAUGACUGUGGCACAUGGACAUUAUAGAUAGUGACUGUAAAGAAAUGAUGAAAGCAGAAAAACGAAACCAUCUUGAUAUGGUUUCUUGUGUUGAAUCAACAGACAGUGUUCAUGAUUUGUUGAAAAAUAGUAUCAUAUCUGAAAUCUAUUCUGCAAAUUCACAUUAAAUUGGUGAACUUGA
Long non-coding RNA from Mya arenaria, 1714 nucleotides. RefSeq lists it as uncharacterized. The record is from RefSeq and is a predicted model, not a curated record. NCBI's taxonomy places the organism in Eukaryota, Metazoa, Mollusca, Bivalvia, Myida, Myidae. The transcript is spliced from 7 exons.